GACGAACGCUGGCGGCGUGCCUAAUACAUGCAAGUCGAACGAGUGGCGGACGGGUGAGUAACACGUGGGAACCUACCCAUCAGAGGGGGAUAACUACUGGAAACGGUAGCUAAUACCGCAUACCAUCGGAUGUGCCCAGAUGGGAUUAGCUUGUAGGUUAGGUAACGGCUCACCUAGGCGACUAUCCCUAGCUGGUCUGAGAGGAUUACCAGCCACACUGGAACUGAGGCACUGUCCCGACUCCUACGGUAGGCAGCAGUGGGGAAUCUUGCACAAUGGGCGCAAGCCUGAUACAGCCAUGCCGCGUGUAUGAAGAGGGCCUUCGGGUUGUAAAGUACUUUCAGCGGGGAGUCGUUACCCGCAGAAGAAGCACCGGCUAACUCCGUGCCAGCAGCCGCGGUAAUUC
This 406-nucleotide ribosomal RNA is filed under the name uncultured bacterium. RNAcentral describes it as "partial 16S ribosomal RNA". It matches the Rfam family "Bacterial small subunit ribosomal RNA", at positions 28 to 526 of the family's 1533-position model. The record is from RNAcentral.